RNAcentral lists this ribosomal RNA (1498 nucleotides) under uncultured prokaryote. RNAcentral's name for it is "partial 16S ribosomal RNA". It matches the Rfam family "Bacterial small subunit ribosomal RNA". The record is from RNAcentral.
ACUGGCUAACGAACGCUGGCGGCGUACUUAACACAUGCAAGUCGAACGAGAAAGAGGGCUUCGGCCCUUGAGUAAAGUGGCGCACGGGUGCGUAACACGUAAGUAAUCUACCCUGAACUCUGGGAUAACUUCUCGAAAGGGAGGCUAAUACCGGAUAGUGUCCUCGAGGUAUAGGCUGCGGGGGGAAAGCAGGCCUCUGAUAUAAGCUUGCGAUUCAGGAUGAGCUUGCGGCCCAUUAGCUAGUUGGUGGGGUAAUGGCUUACCAAGGCAGCGAUGGGUAGCUGGUUUGAGAGGAUGAUCAGCCACACUGGCACUGAGACACGGGCCAGACUCCUACGGGAGGCAGCAGUGGGGAAUUUUGCGCAAUGGGCGAAAGCCUGACGCAGUAACGCCGCGUGGAGGAUGAAGGCCUUCGGGUCGUAAACUCCUGUCAGAGGGGAAGACGGAAGUGGAACGAAUAAUAGCUUCGGCAUUAUGACGGUACCCCCAAAGGAAGCCCCGGCUAAUUCCGUGCCAGCAGCCGCGGUAAUACGGAAGGGGCAAGCGUUGUUCGGAAUUAUUGGGCGUAAAGGGCGUGUAGGCGGUCCCAUAUGUCCGCUGUGAAAUCACACGGCUCAACCGUGUUAGGUCGGCGGAAACUGUGGGACUUGAGGCUGGGAGGGGUCGGUGGAAUUCUUCAUGUAGCGGUGAAAUGCGUAGAUAUGAGGGAGAACACUCGUGGCGAAGGCGGCCGGCUGGACCAGUUCUGACGCUGAUGCGCGAAAGCGUGGGUAGCAAACAGGAUUAGAUACCCUGGUAGUCCACGCUGUAAAAACGAUGGGCACUAGGUGUCGGCGGUUAAUCCCGUCGGUGCUGGCGCUAACGCAGUAAGUGCCCCGCCUGGGGAGUACGGUCGCAAGGCUGAAACUCAAAGAAAUUGACGGGGGCCCGCACAAGCGGUGGAGCAUGUGGUUUAAUUCGACGCAACGCGAAGAACCUUACCUGGACUUGACAUGCACUGGACUGGCAGUGAAAGCUGUCUUCUCUUCGGAGCUGGUGCACAGGUGCUGCAUGGCUGUCGUCAGCUCGUGUCGUGAGAUGUUGGGUUAAGUCCCGCAACGAGCGCAACCCUCGCCCUCUGUUGCUACCGGGUCAAGCCGGGCACUCUGAGGGGACUGCCCCGGUGAACGGGGAGGAAGGUGGGGAUGACGUCAAGUCCUCAUGGCCUUUAUGUCCAGGGCUACACACGUGCUACAAUGGUCAAGACAAAGGGUUGCUACCCUGCAAAGGGAUGCCAAUCCCAAAAACUUGGCCUCAGUUCGGAUGGUCGGCUGCAACUCGCCGGCCUGAAGCUGGAAUCGCUAGUAAUCGGAGAUCAGCACGCUCCGGUGAAUACGUUCCCGGGCCUUGUACACACCGCCCGUCACACCACGAAAGCUGCGUGUACCAGAAGUCGCUGAGCUAACCUCUUUGGGGAGGGCAGGUGCCGAAGGUGUGCGUGGUAAUGGGGGAAGUCGAG